RNAcentral lists this ribosomal RNA (473 nucleotides) under uncultured bacterium. RNAcentral's name for it is "partial 16S ribosomal RNA". It matches the Rfam family "Bacterial small subunit ribosomal RNA", at positions 29 to 507 of the family's 1533-position model. The record is from RNAcentral.
ACGAACGCUGGCGGCGUGCUUAACACAUGCAAGUCGAACGGUAAGGCCCUUCGGGGUACACGAGUGGCGAACGGGUGAGUAACACGUGGGUAAUCUGCCCUGCACAUCGGGAUAAGCCUGGGAAACUGGGUCUAAUACCGAAUAGGACCACAGGACACAUGUCCUGUGGUGGAAAGCUUUUGCGGUGUGGGAUGGGCCCGCGGCCUAUCAGCUUGUUGGUGGGGUGAUGGCCUACCAAGGCGACGACGGGUAGCCGGCCUGAGAGGGUGUCCGGCCACACUGGGACUGAGAUACGGCCCAGACUCCUACGGGAGGCAGCAGUGGGGAAUAUUGCACAAUGGGCGAAAGCCUGAUGCAGCGACGCCGCGUGGGGGAUGACGGCCUUCGGGUUGUAAACCUCUUUCACCAUCGACGAAGGUCCGGGUUUUCUCGGGCUGACGGUAGGUGGAGAAGAAGCACCGGCCAACUACGUG